Non-coding RNA from Lupinus albus (white lupine), 179 nucleotides. The record is from the annotation of a GenBank genome assembly. Lineage: Eukaryota; Viridiplantae; Streptophyta; Magnoliopsida; Fabales; Fabaceae.
ACCACAUUAUCAAGUGUAGUAUUUGUUUUUAUCAGUUUAAUAUCUGAUAUGUGCGUCAUUGGCUUACACGAUAUUAAAUUAAUUUUUUAAAGGUGAGAUGUUAUAUCAAUAGCUUCCUACUGGGCAUCUUAAAGGCGUCGCUGAUGUGUUGCACUUCUGCAUUGGCUGGCACACCCCCC